UGGAAUACGCACGUAGACGCUGUGGUCGAUCUUUUCUCGGACCGGGGUUCGAAUCCCCGCGCCUCCAUCA
Molecule: transfer-messenger RNA, 70 nt
Filed under: Gemmatimonadetes bacterium 13_1_40CM_2_60_3
Lineage: Bacteria; Pseudomonadati; Gemmatimonadota
Description: partial transfer-messenger RNA
Rfam family: transfer-messenger RNA
About the family: Bacterial tmRNA, also known as 10Sa RNA or SsrA, is named for its dual tRNA and mRNA-like properties. Its role is to liberate the mRNA from a stalled ribosome.
Source: RNAcentral